RNAcentral lists this long non-coding RNA (207 nucleotides) under Homo sapiens (human). RNAcentral's name for it is "HSALNT0131077". The record is from RNAcentral. Lineage: Eukaryota; Metazoa; Chordata; Mammalia; Primates; Hominidae.
AGAUAUAGAAGCAAAAAUUGCUGUUAGUGUUCCACCAGAGGUCUGUUGAGAGGUCAUGAUGGUUUCCCGAGACCGGCCAGUACAUCACGGGGUAUGUUCUCAUCAGGCCGUGAGCUUGAUGGUCCCUUCUGCACAACAGGCUGUGAAUGCCAUUCCGGUUUCCACAGGUAAUUCUAAAUGAAGACCCAAGGCUUCAACAGUGACAUU